ACGCUCGACACCUACGGGAGGCAGCAGUGGGGAAUAUUGCACAAUGGGCGAAAGCCUGAUGCAGCAACGCCGCGUGAGCGAAGAAGGCCUUGGGUCGUAAAGCUCUGUCCUCAAGGAAGAUAAUGACGGUACUUGAGGAGGAAGCCCCGGCUAACUACGUGCCACAGCCGCGGUAAUCUGAGCGGGCUGGCGAAGGC
RNAcentral lists this ribosomal RNA (197 nucleotides) under uncultured bacterium. RNAcentral describes it as "partial 16S ribosomal RNA". It matches the Rfam family "Bacterial small subunit ribosomal RNA", at positions 328 to 540 of the family's 1533-position model. The record is from RNAcentral.